This 253-nucleotide ribosomal RNA is filed under the name uncultured bacterium. RNAcentral describes it as "partial 16S ribosomal RNA". It matches the Rfam family "Bacterial small subunit ribosomal RNA", at positions 524 to 776 of the family's 1533-position model. The record is from RNAcentral.
UACGUAGGGAGCGAGCGUUGUCCGGAAUCAUUGGGCGUAAAGAGCAUGUAGGUGGAUCAAUUAGUCUGCUGUGAAAGUCAAAGGCUCAACCUUUGAAAGCCGGUGGAUACUGUUGAUCUAGAGUACGGAAGAGGCGAGUGGAAUUCCUGGUGUAGCGGUGGAAUGCGCAGAUAUCAGGAGGAACACCGGUGGCGAAGGCGGCAUCCUGGACCGGUAUUGACGCUGAGGCGCGAAAGCCAGGGGAGCAAACGGG